CCAGACGAGGUCGAGCUCCCACGUGACGUAGAGCGAGAUCGGGAUGACGUUGAGCGCGAUCGCCCAGCGCCCGCGCGAGAGGAAGUCGCGCGCGAGGCCGGUCAGCGCCGUCCACGCCGCGACGGCGGUCUCCGGCGUGCGCUCCCCCCGCAGCCACGGUGUCGCCGGGUCCACGAGCCGGAACGCAUAGCGCGACGCCGCGACGUUCUCGGCCAGGACGAGCACGACGACGGCCGUGCACAGCCUGAGCAGAUCGGCUGCCGACAUGUCCUGGUACAGGGGCAGCAGGGCCACGCCGGUGAGCCCCACGACGUACGCGGGCGACAGCAGGAAGACGAGCGCCAGCCGCGGGUACUGGGCGCCCGCCCGGC
Molecule: unclassified non-coding RNA, 371 nt
Filed under: plant metagenome
Description: partial contains 5.8S ribosomal RNA, internal transcribed spacer 2, and large subunit ribosomal RNA
Source: RNAcentral